GAUGAACGCUGGCGGCGUGCUUAACACAUGCAAGUCGAGCGAAGCACUUUUGCGGAUUUCUUCGGAUUGAAGUAAUUGUGACUGAGCGGCGGACGGGUGAGUAACGCGUGGGUAACCUGCCUCAUACAGGGGGAUAACAGUUGGAAACGGCUGCUAAUACCGCAUAAGCGCACAGUACCGCAUGGUACGGUGUGAAAAACUCCGGUGGUAUGAGAUGGACCCGCGUCUGAUUAGGUAGUUGUGGGGUAACGGCCUACCAAGCCGACGAUCAGUAGCCGACCUGAGAGGGUGACCGGCCACAUUGGGGACUGAGACACGGGCCCAAACUCCUACGGGAGGCAGCAGUGGGGAAUAUUGCACAAUGGGGGAAACCCUGAUGCAGCGACGCCGCGUGAGCGAUGAAGUAUUUCGGUAUGUAAAGCUCUAUCAGCAGGGAAAAAAUGAC
Molecule: ribosomal RNA, 445 nt
Filed under: uncultured bacterium
Lineage: Bacteria
Description: bacterial SSU rRNA
Rfam family: Bacterial small subunit ribosomal RNA
Source: RNAcentral